RNA transcript from Panicum virgatum (switchgrass), 1548 nucleotides. It is a transcript of the gene named single-stranded DNA-binding protein, mitochondrial-like, with no coding region annotated. The record is from RefSeq and is a predicted model, not a curated record. Lineage: Eukaryota; Viridiplantae; Streptophyta; Magnoliopsida; Poales; Poaceae. The transcript is spliced from 9 exons.
GACCCCGACUUCAGAGGAUCAUGUUCCGACUGCAGAGGAUCUGAUUCCCUCAGCUCAGGGCCUCAGGUUAUGUCUGUUUCUUGAACCCUCUCCGGCUUUCCCUUCUCUCGGACUCUCUCGUCCUUGCUCUUCCUUCCCUGGCGGCGACGACUGGGCGAGCGGCGGCGACAUUUGUCACUUCUUCGCCCAGCCCUUUGCCGGCGACGAGCAUCCACCAGAUUCACCAUGAGUAAUGCCAGCACUGGAUUGCUGAAAGGCUUGAGGAUGGUCUUGCAACAGCAAAAGAUUUCAGCUGUUUUCUGCAGACAAUCUCAAGCUUGGAGUUCUACUGUCUCUUUUUCUGACCUUGAUGAGAAGGGUGAUAUGGACUUUGACGAUGAUUAUACAGAUUCAAAGAGAGAGCUACAGCCCCAGAGCGUAGAUCCCAAAAAGGGCUGGGGAUCCCGCGGCGUCCACAGGGCCAUCAUCUGCGGCAAAGUUGGACAAGUGCCUGUGCAAAAAAUUUUAAGGAAUGGGCGUACAGUAACCGUUUUUACCGUUGGAACUGGUGGCAUGUUUGACCAGAGGGUAAUUGGGCCCGAGGAUUUACCGAAGCCAGCUCAGUGGCAUCGAAUAGCUGUUCAUAAUGACCACCUAGGUGCUUAUGCUGUUCAGAAGCUGGUGAAGAAUUCUGCAGUCUAUGUUGAGGGUGAUAUUGAAACGAGGGUCUACAAUGACAGCAUUAAUGAUCAAGUCAGAAACAUACCUGAGAUAUGUGUACGACGUGAUGGCAAGAUUCGUCUGAUUAAAUCUGGGGACAGUGCUGCUAGCAUAUCAUUAGAUGAGCUCAGACAAGGGCUGUUCUAGUUAUAGUUAAGGAUGUCAGUGCAAGCAGAUCAUGAGGUUGCUUCUUGCUUGAGUCCUCUUUCAGGCCACAGCAAGCACACCUCAUCGAUUCAAUGUCCAUCUUCAGUGCUCAUGAAAGCAAGGUGCGUGAGGCAGCAUUAGUGUAGAAAUAGAGCCGGAAAGCAAUAACAAGGAGGGAGAGGGAGAUAAUAGAUACCAGCAGGGGAACAAUUGGGGCCUCAGCUCUCAGGACUAGGUUGCUACUUGUAUGGAAAAAUUGGACAGCUUGUCUUUUCCUCUGGAUUGUAUUGCUUAGCUCUGAUUGAUGAUUGAAAUUUCGGGAUUUGCCCAGGCCCAUUGUAUCUUGGGCAGUGCACUAGCUGGUGAAGGCCUACGAUCUGCGUCGAUGGCUGCUGGUUCACAUGGCCGUAACUGUGAUGAAGGUACGAAUAGCAGCACAAGCCUGUACUCGAUUGGAAAAUGCAGUAAAACUUUGGGUUCCCGCCUCCCGCCUCCAUUUCUUUUGAUUGUACUUCUUCCUCCAUGUUUUCAGCGCCUAAACAAUGAUCUAUGAAGCGACCUUUUUUUUUUCGUUGAAGCAAUCACAGAUGGUUUAUGGUUUUUUAUACCUGAAAAACUAUUGACUAGGGUCUCAUAUACUUGACAUGUUGGUCCCAAAGUCCUAAUAGCCAGCAUUCUCAGGUUGCCCGUUAGAAUUUCCAA